Long non-coding RNA from Cucumis melo (muskmelon), 277 nucleotides. RefSeq lists it as uncharacterized. The transcript is spliced from 2 exons. NCBI's taxonomy places the organism in Eukaryota, Viridiplantae, Streptophyta, Magnoliopsida, Cucurbitales, Cucurbitaceae. The record is from RefSeq and is a predicted model, not a curated record.
UACAAACCAAAAAUUAAACUGUUCCUCCAUCACGCUUAUGAAUUGGACUUUGAUAGAAUUUGAAUGAUCAUUCUUCAAUCUUUAGGGCUGCAAUUCUCUCCUUUCUUUCUUACAUGUCGUGGUGAUGUUGCACAAAAAGGUAGGUCGGUGGAGCUUUAGCACGUGUACGUUGGAAAUGGUAUGUGGGUUAGAAUGCUUUGAAUUUGUUUCCACCCCAAGGUUUCUAGAUCAACUCUAAUCUAUUAUUUUCUCUCUAAAUAAAUUGUUUCUUUGUUAA